ACGCUCGACACCUACGGAGCAGCAGUGGGGAAUAUUGCACAAUGGAGGAAACUCUGAUGCAGCGAUGCCGCGUGAGGGAAGAAGGUUUUCGGAUUGUAAACCUCUGUCUUUGGGGACGAUAAUGACGGUACCCAAGGAGGAAGCUCCGGCUAACUACGUACCAGCAGCCGCGGUAAUCUGAGCGGGCUGGCAAGGC
RNAcentral lists this ribosomal RNA (196 nucleotides) under uncultured bacterium. Its description in RNAcentral is "partial 16S ribosomal RNA". It matches the Rfam family "Bacterial small subunit ribosomal RNA", at positions 326 to 539 of the family's 1533-position model. The record is from RNAcentral.